CAGAACCAGACCUGGCUAACAUUUUCCAAGCCAGUGUGUUUGAGAGCAACACAAUAAAUGUACUAAAUGUAGAUGGAAUUUUGCCAACCAUGAACCAUGAUAAUAAAAAUCAUACAUUUUCACGCAUACUAAACUACACAGCAUGCCUUAACAACCCUAAAGAACCUGCUUAUGGGAUGGGUAAUAGGAAAGAAACCAACAGGUGGGAAGAGGAGACACAUGUUCUCCUUCUCCUUAACUGACCCUGUCUUUCGUCACCGAGUGACAGGUGAAACGUCCCACCCAAUGAGAACGUUUCCGAUGCAUUGCAACCUUUUAGAACGCAUGAAAUGCAUGCAUGCGGCGGCGGUUGGCCUCUCUCUGCACACGGCUCGCGUUGUCUUUUCUGCAAGUGGAAAUCACCUGGGACUGAAACAGGAAGCCACGCUGCUCGUAACCACAGCGCUGUGACUGUUGCUGGCCACCGACAGAGGCAGGCAAAUAAAAGGCCGCAGUGUGCCACAGACAUGCGAGUCUCUUGUAACGGUUAUUAGUUUUGUUGUCUAAGCCUUUCAGCAUCAGAGACCAUUUUGAAAAAGCUACUCGCCUGACCCGAACGCCAUGUUAUCAGAAUAACGGUUUGAAAUCACGACAGGGUUCAACUUUUCGGAAAAAACUUGUUUCGGCCUCAUGCUCGAAAAUGUAUUACAAAGAAAUGACCGAUAAUAUGACAUACCAUUUACAUUUAAUUUCCUGUUCGCCAUUUAUAUUAGUUACUUAGCAGACGCUUUUAUCUAGGGCGACCUACAGUGUAUGAACAACCAAAGUGCUACUUGACUUAUGAGCCAUUUUAAACAAAUUAGCUUAGCCUCUGUACCAGCCACAAACACACUCACUCCCUCAAGUACACUGAACACCUUUCUUAUUUUGCUUAUUUAUUCUAGAAAAAAAGAACAAGAACAAGAACGUAAAAAACACAUUAAUAUAACGCUUUAGACGAACUUUACAGCAAAGCUGAAGUCCACUUUGAAGGCGUCUGAAAGUGAAAGCGGUCGUCUUAAAUAGCAGAACCACAGUAGACAGGAACCCAACAUACUGACACACCUUUGCCCGAACUGAACGUUCAGGGUUGCUGGGGACGUUUUACAAGAGUUUACUCAUGCAAAGACACCACACAUCUCUUCUGUCCAACCUGAGGUACUUGUUAAACAGGGUGCGCCAUGAAUUCAACUAAAGGCCUUUUCCACGUGACGGUAAACAGCACAUAUUUAGAGAUCAUUGAGGAGGUGUUCCUGACCGUGUGGCCGAUUGCCCGCUACGUGUUCCUGGUCCUGUUGCUGAGUGUCUUUGUAGGCACGCUGGUGACAGACUGCAUUACCAGAGGAAACAGAUGCUCAGAAGAAACGAGGCCUGAAAGGGUAAAUGUGGCAGUUCUAUUCUGAUUAAACGUGGCCUUUUGCAUCACAUUUUAAAAUAGGCCAAGUUAAACUACCACACAGAUAACUGUAGAAGCCUUUGUAACCCCGUUGUGAUCUUCAGUACUGU
Long non-coding RNA from Anguilla rostrata (American eel), 1524 nucleotides. RefSeq lists it as uncharacterized. NCBI's taxonomy places the organism in Eukaryota, Metazoa, Chordata, Actinopteri, Anguilliformes, Anguillidae. The record is from RefSeq and is a predicted model, not a curated record. The transcript has 4 exons.